RNAcentral lists this ribosomal RNA (771 nucleotides) under uncultured Neocallimastigales. Its description in RNAcentral is "partial large subunit ribosomal RNA". It matches the Rfam family "Eukaryotic large subunit ribosomal RNA", at positions 22 to 646 of the family's 3401-position model. Lineage: Eukaryota; Fungi; Neocallimastigomycota; Neocallimastigomycetes; Neocallimastigales. The record is from RNAcentral.
GUACACGCUGUGACUAGCAUAUCAAUAAGCGGAGGAAAAGAAACUAACAAGGAUUCCCUCAGUAACGGCGAGUGAAGCGGGAAGAGCUCAAACUUGAAAUCUUGAAAGGUCACCUUUCACGAAUUGUAGUUUAAAGAAGUGUUUUCUGUUACGAUCGUAAUAUAAGUUCUUUGGAAUAGGACAUCACAGAGGGUGAGAAUCCCGUCUAUGAUUGCGAUUUGUAGCUUUGUGAUACACUUUCAAAGAGUCGGGUUGUUUGGGAAUGCAGCCCAAAACGGGAGGUAAAUUUCUUCUAAGGCUAAAUAUUGGCGAGAGACCGAUAGCGAACAAGUACCGUGAGGGAAAGAUGAAAAGAACUUUGAAAAGAGAGUUAAAUAGUACGUGAAAUUGUCAAAAGGGAAGCGUUUAACACCAGUGUUGUUUUCUGAAAAUCAACCUCUGUUAGCUUUAUGCAUGUUUGUUUAGACCUAAUCAGCUAUCUUGCAUGUUCUAUUGUUUGCAGUGGUGCACUUUUCAGUUUACAGGUCAACAUCAGUUUUUUUUACCGUAAAAAAGUUAAAGAAAGGUAGCUCAUGGCUCCGGUCGUGAGUGUUAUAGUCUUUUUCCUAUGCGGUAGGAGAGACUGAGGUCUGCAGUGUAGGCUAUUUGGCUAGAUACUCAGGUGCUAUGUGAUACCAUUUCAUAAACAACUUGUUGAUUAUGUUUUGUCUAUUGCAUACUCGCUUGUACUAUCAUACCUACGCUUAGGAUGUUGAGUAGCGACAUACGCAC